AGUUCAUGUUGUGGGCAUUGAUGGAGUAAACCUUUGUAUCGUUUCCAAACUUGUGAAUAGCAUUCUGAGUCCAGCUGUUGAGAAGUAGUAAUCUUAUCCCCUAGUUU
Molecule: small nucleolar RNA, 107 nt
Filed under: Olea europaea subsp. europaea
Lineage: Eukaryota; Viridiplantae; Streptophyta; Magnoliopsida; Lamiales; Oleaceae
Description: Plant small nucleolar RNA R71
Rfam family: Plant small nucleolar RNA R71
About the family: R71 is a member of the C/D box family of snoRNAs containing the C (UGAUGA) and D (CUGA) box motifs. Multiple nearly identical copies of this snoRNA have been identified in Arabidopsis, and it is thought to function as a 2'-O-ribose methylation guide for 18S ribosomal RNA.
Source: Rfam by way of RNAcentral